GACGAACGCUGGCGGCGUGCUUAACACAUGCAAGUCGAACGAUGAAGCCCUUCGGGGUGGAUUAGUGGCGAACGGGUGAGUAACACGUGGGCAAUCUGCCCUUCACUCUGGGACAAGCCCUGGAAACGGGGUCUAAUACCGGAUAAUACCUGCCUGGGCAUCUGGGUGGGUUGAAAGCUCCGGCGGUGAAGGAUGAGCCCGCGGCCUAUCAGCUUGUUGGUGAGGUAGUGGCUCACCAAGGCGACGACGGGUAGCCGGCCUGAGAGGGCGACCGGCCACACUGGGACUGAGACACGGCCCAGACUCCUACGGGAGGCAGCAGUGGGGAAUAUUGCACAAUGGGCGAAAGCCUGAUGCAGCGACGCCGCGUGAGGGAUGACGGCCUUCGGGUUGUAAACCUCUUUCAGCAGGGAAGAAGCGAGAGUGACGGUACCUGCAGAAGAAGCGCCGGCUAACUACGUGCCAGCAGCCGCAGUAACAC
This 481-nucleotide ribosomal RNA is filed under the name uncultured bacterium. Its description in RNAcentral is "bacterial SSU rRNA". It matches the Rfam family "Bacterial small subunit ribosomal RNA", at positions 28 to 526 of the family's 1533-position model. The record is from RNAcentral.